Molecule: ribosomal RNA, 525 nt
Filed under: Triticum aestivum (bread wheat)
Lineage: Eukaryota; Viridiplantae; Streptophyta; Magnoliopsida; Poales; Poaceae
Description: partial small subunit ribosomal RNA
Source: RNAcentral
AGGAAAGUUAAUUCUUCUGAUCCUAUAGAUGUCUUGGACAUAAAACUCAAAAGAUUCAAAACCUUUUUCAAAGGGUGGGUCUUUGAUAGAUAUGGCCAUAACAAGAAAAGGAAGGAAGAUCUUAGAUUGGAGUUAUCCAUGCUCGAAGAACUUGAGGAAAAUGGACCACUUCCCCCUGAACUCUAUAGCAGGAAGAUGGAUGCCAACUUCAAGUUGCAUGAGUUGCUUGUAAAUGAGGAGAUAUUUUGGCUUCAACAAUCCCACGAGAGCUGGCUCCUCAAAGGGGACUUAAACAUAGACUACUAUCAUAAGAUUGCUAAUGGGCGCAAACGUAAAAACACCAUCCAUUCUCUUAAGGUGGGUGAUGAGGCUACAAUUGAGGGCACGGACAACCUGAUUACUCAUGCCACUAGUUUUUACAAGGAUUUGUUUGGCCCAGCUCCUGGUAAUCUGUUCCAUCUUAAUCCUGAUACAUGGACUGACGAUGAGAAACUCUCUGUGAAGGAUAAUAAAGAACUCUGUUGA